UCGCAGGUUCGAAUCCUGCACGACCCACCAAUUUAACAUCGCAGUCAGAUGUUAAGCGUGAAGGAUAACGUUGCGUCAGCAACGGCCCGUAGGGCGAGCGAAAGCGAGUCAUCCUGCACGACCCACCA
RNAcentral lists this small RNA (128 nucleotides) under Klebsiella michiganensis. Its description in RNAcentral is "partial RtT sRNA". It matches the Rfam family "RtT RNA", at positions 35 to 130 of the family's 130-position model. Rfam says of the family: This family represents a bacterial cis-regulatory element known as RtT RNA. The exact function of RtT is unknown although it is thought that it may be involved in changing the cellular response in relation to amino acid starvation. The record is from RNAcentral. Lineage: Bacteria; Pseudomonadati; Pseudomonadota; Gammaproteobacteria; Enterobacterales; Enterobacteriaceae.